Molecule: transfer RNA, 58 nt
Filed under: Shigella sonnei
Lineage: Bacteria; Pseudomonadati; Pseudomonadota; Gammaproteobacteria; Enterobacterales; Enterobacteriaceae
Also listed under: 1 other name
Description: tRNA-Leu
Rfam family: tRNA
About the family: Transfer RNA (tRNA) molecules are approximately 80 nucleotides in length. Their secondary structure includes four short double-helical elements and three loops (D, anti-codon, and T loops). Further hydrogen bonds mediate the characteristic L-shaped molecular structure. tRNAs have two regions of fundamental functional importance: the anti-codon, which is responsible for specific mRNA codon recognition, and the 3' end, to which the tRNAs corresponding amino acid is attached (by aminoacyl-tRNA synthetases). tRNAs cope with the degeneracy of the genetic code in two manners: having more than one tRNA (with a specific anti-codon) for a particular amino acid; and 'wobble' base-pairing, i.e. permitting non-standard base-pairing at the 3rd anti-codon position.
Source: RNAcentral
GGCCCCUUAGCUCAGUGGUUAGAGCANNUCGCUGGUUCAAGUCCAGCAGGGGCCACCA